Molecule: long non-coding RNA, 834 nt
Filed under: Zea mays
Lineage: Eukaryota; Viridiplantae; Streptophyta; Magnoliopsida; Poales; Poaceae
Description: long non-coding RNA (ZMAY_LNC001523)
Source: RNAcentral
GGCUGGCCAGACAUCCCCUACAUGAGUAGCAGCAGCCAGCAGGCAGAGGCCGGGAUACGUGCAUCCGAAACUGACAGAUCUCUGAUGUAGCAUGCCACAACUUACCAACAGUUCAAUAGCCUGCUAUCCGUGAUUCGGUGGCCGAUUAAAAAAGCCUUUCCCAAUCCCAUUGACGCCUGGUACAAGCUGUUGCUGAAUUUGCUGCUCAGAUCUCAAAAAACUGUUCAGAUUAUAACGUCACAGCACUGCUUCGUAGAACGAGAAUAUUUAUGUACGCUUUCAACUGGCAGAGCUUCGCUCAGCAAGAAUCCAUCUUGCCAAAAGAAUAACAGUCACCGUGCACUCAGAAAGAUGAACCAUGUACAGAACAAGUGCACUGUUAUGUAGACCCCAUCGGACAAUAAAGCUGGAAAAUACGUAUUCGGGUCACGCAGCAUGAAGUAUCUUUCUAUUUUUUAUCCUAUAAUAAUAGCAGCACGAAUGGAUGCCUCUUGGAACCUGUGAUGCCAGACCGAGCGGGAGAAAAGAAUGGAACAAGAUACCUGACGCUGAUGCAAGGCCAAUCGCUCUUCUGGUUCAUGUGCUCUUUAAUUGACGAUACAGAUUCCGGCCAUUUCAAUCGCUAUACAUGGUCACUUCAUCUUGCUUGAACGAUGCUGCAGAACAUAUGAACAGAGAAGUUUUAAGUGCUAGGAAAUACUCUUAAGAACGAUGACGCAGAGCUAGUAAUGGGGUUACAUACGAACCGAAAUCAGAAGAGAUGCAUUUGUCGUCCAUUUCUAAUCAAAGAACCCAGCGAGAUAGAUAUCAUAUAUAAGGAACCUCGAAACCCAC